AGAGUUUGAUCCUGGCUCAGGAUGAACGCUGGCGGCGUGCCUAACACAUGCAAGUUGAGCGAUUUACUUCGGUAAAGAGCGGCGGACGGGUGAGUAACGCGUGGGUAACCUACCCUGUACACACGGAUAACAUACCGAAAGGUAUGCUAAUACGGGAUAAUAUAUUUGAGAGGCAUCUCUUGAAUAUCAAAGGUGAGCCAGUACAGGAUGGACCCGCGUCUGAUUAGCUAGUUGGUAAGGUAACGGCUUACCAAGGCGACGAUCAGUAGCCGACCUGAGAGGGUGAUCGGCCACAUUGGAACUGAGACACGGUCCAAACUCCUACGGGAGGCAGCAGUGGGGAAUAUUGCACAAUGGGCGAAAGCCUGAUGCAGCAACGCCGCGUGAGUGAUGAAGGCCUUCGGGUCGUAAAACUCUGUCCUCAAGGAAGAUAAUGACGGUACUUGAGGAGGAAGCCCCGGCUAACUACGUGCCAGCAGCCGCGGUAAUACGUAGGGGGCUAGCGUUAUCCGGAUUUACUGGGCGUAAAGGGUGCGUAGGCGGUCUUUCAAGUCAGGAGUGAAAGGCUACGGCUCAACCGUAGUAAGCUCUUGAAACUGGGAGACUUGAGUGCAGGAGAGGAGAGUGGAAUUCCUAGUGUAGCGGUGAAAUGCGUAGAUAUUAGGAGGAACACCAGUUGCGAAGGCGGCUCUCUGGACUGUAACUGACGCUGAGGCACGAAAGCGUGGGGAGCAAACAGGAUUAGAUACCCUGGUAGUCCACGCUGUAAACGAUGAGUACUAGGU
Molecule: ribosomal RNA, 785 nt
Filed under: Clostridioides difficile
Lineage: Bacteria; Bacillati; Bacillota; Clostridia; Peptostreptococcales; Peptostreptococcaceae
Description: bacterial SSU rRNA
Rfam family: Bacterial small subunit ribosomal RNA
Source: RNAcentral